GAUCAAAGCUUUUAAUCAGUUUUGAAGACUGGAGCAGUGCAGUUACUUCCUGGGACAAAAUUCAGCCUUUCAAGUCCCCCCCCCCAUAUGGACAAGCCUGCAGUGCUGGUACCACAAAACAGCAAUGCCUUGCUUCUGUAUGGCAAGAUGUCCUGCUCUGCAACCUCCCGUUUUAAGGGCUGCAUACUGCAGGAAAGACUCACACAUGGCUUCAUGGCCUGUUAAAUCAGCUAUGCCAUCUGGAUUUCUCCUUUGAAACUUUCUGUCCAGAGCCCUUAGUGUACCUCAGGACACCGCAGUGAUAUGUCUCCCAGAACCACAGAAAUUGCCUUCUUGCCUCUUCUCUGCCUGAACCCUGUGUAACAACUCAGGAUAUUGGAAGAUUUAAUCCUGAGCAAACCACCAUGACUCAUUCAGGCUCCUACUUAGGCUAACUAUAUGUCUGCAUUAAAGAUUC
Pogoniulus pusillus (Red-fronted tinkerbird) is the source of this 457-nucleotide long non-coding RNA. RefSeq lists it as uncharacterized. NCBI's taxonomy places the organism in Eukaryota, Metazoa, Chordata, Aves, Piciformes, Lybiidae. The transcript has 3 exons. The record is from RefSeq and is a predicted model, not a curated record.